AACUAUAACGGUCCUAAGGUAGCGAAAUUCCUUGUCAGGUAAGUUCUGACCCGCACGAAAGGCGUAACGAUUUGGGCGCUGUCUCAGCUGUAGACUCGGUGAAGUCUUAGUACCUGUGAAGAUGCAGGUUACCCGCGACUAGACGGAAAGACCCCAUGGAGCUUUACUGUAGCUUGAUAUUGGACUUUGAUGCAAGAUGUACAGGAUAGGUAGGAGACUGAGAGACAUGCACGCCAGUGUGUGAGGAGUCAAUGUUGGGAUACUACUCUUCUUGUAUUGGAGUUCUAACCGGAUGCCAUGGAACUGGCAACGGGACAGUGUCAGGUGGGCAGUUUGACUGGGGCGGUCGCCUCCCAAAGAGUAACGGAGGCGCCCAAAGAUACCCUCAGCUUGGAUGGAAAUCAAGCGCAGAGUGCAAAGGCAUAAGGGUGUUUGACUGCGAGACCUACAAGUCGAGCAGGGACGAAAGUCGGGCUUAGUGAUCCGGCGGUGCUGAAUGGAAAGGCCGUCGCUCAACGGAUAAAAGCUACCCUGGGGAUAACAGGCUGAUCUCCCCCAAGAGUUCACAUCGACGGGGAGGUUUGGCACCUCGAUGUCGGCUCAUCGCAUCCUGGGGCUGAAGUAGGUCCCAAGGGUUGGGCUGUUCGCCCAUUAAAGCGGUACGCGAGCUGGGUUCAGAACGUCGUGAGACAGUUCGGUCCCUAUCUGUCGUGGGCGUAGGAAGUUUGAGAAGAUCUGUCCUCAGUACGAGAGGACCGGGAUGGACAUAUCAAUGGUGCACCAGUUGUCACGCCAGUGGCACAGCUGGGUAGCUAAAUAUGGAAGGGAUAAACGCUGAAGGCAUCUAAGUGUGAAACCCACUUCAAGAUGAGACUUCCCAUUACGCAAGUAAGUAAGACCCCUUAAAGACGAUAAGGUUGAUAGGUCAGGAGUGUAAGCAUGGCGACAUGUUCAGCGGACUGAUACUAAUAGGUCGAGGACUUAACCUA
Molecule: ribosomal RNA, 989 nt
Filed under: human gut metagenome
Description: bacterial LSU rRNA
Rfam family: Bacterial large subunit ribosomal RNA
Source: RNAcentral